AAGUGGAGCAAUCCAUGAGUAGAGUGGCAAACGGGUGAGUAACGCGUGGGUGACCUGCCUUCGAGUGGGGGAUAACGCUCCGAAAGGGACGCUAAUACCGCAUAACAUCCUGCCUUUUAAGAGGUGGAGAUCAAAGCCUGGGACCGCAAGGCCAGGCGCUGGAAGAGGGGCCCGCGCCUGAUUAGCUAGUUGGUGGGGUAACGGCUCACCAAGGCAACGAUCAGUAGCCGGCCUGAGAGGGCGGACGGCCACACUGGGACUGAGACACGGCCCAGACUCCUACGGGAGGCAGCAGUGGGGAAUUGUUCGCAAUGGGCGCAAGCCUGACGACGCAACGCCGCGUGGAGGACGAAGACCUUCGGG
RNAcentral lists this ribosomal RNA (363 nucleotides) under uncultured bacterium. Its description in RNAcentral is "bacterial SSU rRNA". It matches the Rfam family "Bacterial small subunit ribosomal RNA", at positions 72 to 422 of the family's 1533-position model. The record is from RNAcentral.